GCGCACGCUGGCGGCGUGCUUAACACAUGCAAGUCGAACGGAAAGGCCCUGCUUUUGUGGGGUGCUCGAGUGGCGAACGGGUGAGUAACACGUGAGUAACCUGCCCUUGACUUUGGGAUAACUUCAGGAAACUGGGGCUAAUACCGGAUAGGAGCUCCUGCUGCAUGGUGGGGGUUGGAAAGUUUCGGCGGUUGGGGAUGGACUCGCGGCUUAUCAGCUUGUUGGUGGGGUAGUGGCUUACCAAGGCUUUGACGGGUAGCCGGCCUGAGAGGGUGACCGGCCACAUUGGGACUGAGAUACGGCCCAGACUCCUACGGGAGGCAGCAGUGGGGAAUAUUGCACAAUGGGCGGAAGCCUGAUGCAGCAACGCCGCGUGCGGGAUGACGGCCUUCGGGUUGUAAACCGCUUUCGCCUGUGACGAAGCGUGAGUGACGGUAAUGGGUAAAGAAGCACCGGCUAACUACGUG
Molecule: ribosomal RNA, 467 nt
Filed under: uncultured bacterium
Lineage: Bacteria
Description: partial 16S ribosomal RNA
Rfam family: Bacterial small subunit ribosomal RNA
Source: RNAcentral